Non-coding RNA from Cicer arietinum (chickpea), 2010 nucleotides. The record is from RefSeq and is a predicted model, not a curated record. Lineage: Eukaryota; Viridiplantae; Streptophyta; Magnoliopsida; Fabales; Fabaceae.
UCAAAUAGUAAUUCAUAGUAGACUAUGAUUCAUAUUAGAAUUUGUCUAGACUAAUAAGUCAAAACAUAUAAAACAACAACAAAUAUAAUGGUAAGAUCUACUUUAUAUGGCGAAAGUUAACACUUAACAGUUAAGAAUAAAAUGUGUUAGUGGUAAUUAAUAAAGGAUUAAAUGCACUUUUAGUACUUCAAAUUUAUCAAUUAUGCGAUUUUGGUCCUUCUAAUUUAAUUUUUUAGGAGCAAUUUUAACCCUCCACAUUUAACCCUUUUUUUUUUAGCCCCCUCACACAUGGUUGGAUUUAUUUGAAGACAUACACCUUUCACGUCUGAUAAUUUCUUCCCCUUUCCAAUUCCCAGCUCAAUCCAACUCCUCCAUCACUACCUGGUGGACACAAAUAAACGAAGAUUCUCUCCCUCAAUUUAUUCAUUCACAAAUUUCCUCUGCAUUUCAUCCUCCCACCCCACCCCACCCCACCCAACCUAGUAACCGUAGUACCACUUCCACUAUCACUCUUUUCUUCAAGCAAGAAUGUGCUGACCUCAACUCCAAAACAGAGAAACUCACCACUCUUGUUGGACAAGUAGCGAGAGCCUACUCCAAUCUCUACGAACAUCCAACUAAAUGGAUCAUCGAAGAAACCAAACAGGCUGAGGUUGAGUUUCUAGCUUUUCUCUCAGGUUAGAUGGAAGAGUUGAUGGAGACCAAGGAAGAGGAGAUGUUGGUGAAGAUGAAGGAGUUGGGUCAAGACGAGAAAUGGAAAAGGAAGAGAUGAAGGGGAGAAAUGAUUAGAUAUGAAGGGUGUAUGAUACUAUCAUGAACUUCAACUAAAUCCAACCAUAUAUGAGUGGGGGACUAAAAAAUAAAUAUGGGAACCAAUAUUGCUCAAAAAAAAGUAAGGGACAAAAUUGCACAAUUGAAAAACUUGAGCUAAAAAUGCAUUUAAACCAUUAAUAAAUUAAUAUGAUCAAAAGUAAAUUUUACUGUGUUACAUCAAAAGUACAUCAGUGCAUCAAUUAUCCCCUCGACAGAAUAUAAUCAAACCAUACAAUCAGAUAACUACAACAACCAAAAUCUUUCCUACUAGACAGCAGUCAGCCACUACAUUGAUCAAACUAUCCCAUAAUGUCUUGGGAACUACAUACAUAAAAAUCUCUAAAAGAUAAAACAUAUAUGGAAAACAUAACAAGAUGCUUCCCUUCAAGUAAUAACCAACCAUAUGAUCUAAAUUUCAAACAUAAUCAUCAUAGGCUAAACGCCAUAAAGAAACAAUGGCAAUUAACCUGAGAAGCAGAACCGCUUGAUUAUGAGGAUUCUUCAUGAUAAAGGUGAAGCCCUAGUCCAAAGCGUGCACAAGCUCUUCGAAACGCCAUUGCUUCUGCCUUCUGUACCGGAUCUCCAUAACUUGUAUCAUCUACUGAAGCAGUACCAGUUGACUCUCUAAAUAUCUACACAAAUAAAUGACAAGAAUGCUGAACAAUUCUUCACCCACAGUUUACUGUCGUGUAAGUAUUCAUCAACCCAAACGAGUAAAUAUUUGGUUCCUCAAAAGUCAUUCAGCUGACUUAUAUGCAUGAUGAGGAAAUUGAGUUGUACAUAAUUUAUAAAUGAAUGAAAGAUAGAUUGGUCCUGCGUACUGAUGGCUCAUGAAGGCAUUGCCACUGUGUGUUUUGAGGAUGGAAGAUAUUAGAUAGAUAGCUAAUUUUCAUUUGAAUCAAGACAAUACCAGGCAAAGCUUAAAGCCAUCAAAAGGCUGUAAAAUGUGAGAAUCAUUAUACUGAUCAGUGUUGUCUAUGGCAGAUGGCGGUCCAUGUCGAAAAGGCCAAUCCCUUAGUUUUUUCCUCCAUGGCCGCCAUCAAGUGCAAAAUGGCUGUGGUAGAUUGUUGAAAUCCUAACAUCGUUUUCUGCCAUAGCUGCCAUUCAAUAAGUGAUACUUUUGAAAAUAAAAGAUUUGAUGUGAGUGUUAGGUAAGCUAUCUAAUUUAUUAAAUCAAGUUUAAAGAUUCAUCAUCAA